CAGCAGCCGCGGUAAUGCGAAGGGGGCUAGCGUUGUUCGGAAUUACUGGGCGUAAAGCGCACGUAGGCGGAUAUUUAAGUCAGGGGUGAAAUCCCGCAGCUCAACUGCGGAACUGCCUUUGAUACUGGGUAUCUUGAGUAUGGAAGAGGUUAGUGGAAUUGCGAGUGUAGAGGUGAAAUUCGUAGAUAUUCGCAGGAACACCAGUGGCGAAGGCGGCUAACUGGUCCAUAACUGACGCUGAGGUGCGAAAGCGUGGGGAGCAAACAGGAUUAGAUACCCCAGUAGUCCCUGUCUCUUAUAA
Molecule: ribosomal RNA, 301 nt
Filed under: uncultured bacterium
Lineage: Bacteria
Description: partial 16S ribosomal RNA
Rfam family: Bacterial small subunit ribosomal RNA
Source: RNAcentral